This 94-nucleotide transfer RNA is filed under the name Hymenobacter qilianensis. RNAcentral describes it as "tRNA-Arg". Lineage: Bacteria; Pseudomonadati; Bacteroidota; Cytophagia; Cytophagales; Hymenobacteraceae. The record is from RNAcentral.
UCCUGAACUUACUCUGUGGGGAGAGAAGGAUUCGAACCUUCGAAAGCUUACGCUAACAGAGUUACAGUCUGUCCCAUUUGGCCGCUCUGGAACC